UCUCUGAUCGUAUAGUGGCUAGUAUGCUCGCUUGUCAUUAGCACUGACCGCGGGAGACCGGAGUUCAAUUCUCCGUCAGAGAG
RNAcentral lists this transfer RNA (83 nucleotides) under Cutaneotrichosporon oleaginosum. RNAcentral describes it as "tRNA-Asp". Lineage: Eukaryota; Fungi; Basidiomycota; Tremellomycetes; Trichosporonales; Trichosporonaceae. The record is from RNAcentral.